RNAcentral lists this unclassified non-coding RNA (343 nucleotides) under soil metagenome. RNAcentral's name for it is "partial contains 5.8S ribosomal RNA, internal transcribed spacer 2, and large subunit ribosomal RNA". The stretch from base 1 to 120 matches the Rfam family "5.8S ribosomal RNA", at positions 35 to 154 of the family's 154-position model. The record is from RNAcentral.
GAUGAAGAACGUAGCGAAAUGCGAUAAGUAAUGUGAAUUGCAGAAUUCAGUGAAUCAUCGAAUCUUUGAACGCACAUUGCGCCCGCUAGUAUUCUGGCGGGCAUGCCUGUCCGAGCGUCAUUUCAACCCUCAAGCCCCCGGGCUUGGUGUUGGGGAUCGGCGAGCCUCCGCGCCCGCCGUCCCCUAAAUCUAGUGGCGGUCUCGCUGUAGCUUCCUCUGCGUAGUAGCACACCUCGCACUGGGAAACAGCGCGGCCACGCCGUUAAACCCCCAACUUCUGAACGUUUGACCUCGGAUCAGGUAGGAAUACCCGCUGAACUUAAGCAUAUCAAUAAGCGGAGUA